Molecule: ribosomal RNA, 424 nt
Filed under: Verrucomicrobiota bacterium
Lineage: Bacteria; Pseudomonadati; Verrucomicrobiota
Description: Verrucomicrobia bacterium partial 16S ribosomal RNA
Rfam family: Bacterial small subunit ribosomal RNA
Source: RNAcentral
UGAGGAAUAUUGGUCAAUGGGCGAGAGCCUGAACCAGCCAAGUAGCGUGCAGGAUGACGGCCCUAUGGGUUGUAAACUGCUUUUAUGUGGGGAUAAAGUGCGUGACGUGUCAUGCAUUGCAGGUACCACAUGAAUAAGGACCGGCUAAUUCCGUGCCAGCAGCCGCGGUAAUACGGAAGGUCCGGGCGUUAUCCGGAUUUAUUGGGUUUAAAGGGAGCGUAGGCUGUCUAUUAAGCGUGUUGUGAAAUAUACCGGCUCAACCGGUGAAUUGCAGCGCGAACUGUUUGGCUUGAGUGCACGGUAAGCAGGCGGAAUUCAUGGUGUAGCGGUGAAAUGCUUAGAUAUCAUGAGGAACUCCGAUUGCGAAGGCAGCUUGCUGCAGUGCGACUGACGCUGAUGCUCGAAGGUGCGGGUAUCAAACAGG